GUGAUUCCUGCCGAGGAAGCUGCCGAAGAAUUCCAGGAAAGGCUACAGGCCCAUCUGAAGACUCUGAGAGCCGAGAGAGAAAAGCUGCUGGGACUGAAAGUGAGCAGAGAGGAGACCAGCCGGGAGUACCUGAAACGGACACAAGUCGAGCGGCGGAAGGUUGUGGCCGAGUUUCAGCAGCUGCG
Non-coding RNA from Pelodiscus sinensis (Chinese soft-shelled turtle), 185 nucleotides. The record is from RefSeq and is a predicted model, not a curated record. NCBI's taxonomy places the organism in Eukaryota, Metazoa, Chordata, Testudines, Trionychidae.